Long non-coding RNA from Alexandromys fortis (reed vole), 933 nucleotides. RefSeq lists it as uncharacterized. The transcript has 4 exons. The record is from RefSeq and is a predicted model, not a curated record. NCBI's taxonomy places the organism in Eukaryota, Metazoa, Chordata, Mammalia, Rodentia, Cricetidae.
CAGAGAGAGAGCCUGGACUUUCAGUUCCAGGUAGAAGACUCCCACCUACUGCAGUAACAGCAGAAAGGGCUGCCUGGGAUUUAAAUGUGAGGGAUUUGAAUAUCAGCAAGCUGAUAUUCCAGGCUGAGCUGGAAGAAGUCUUUUCACUUCUUCCCUGGGGGUUUUGCCUCUUCUGAGCUUGGGGUGGCCCUGACCUGAGUGAGCUCAGCUACCCGUGAAAGAAGGAGGAAACAGAUUGCGGUUGUGAGGUGUGGCUGUCCGGAGUGGGAGAGGACUAGCGACCAGCGUCACCCUAAGGCCAGCCUGGAUUUCCCCGGGGGACAUUUGCUUAACUCAGGGGUCAGCAGUCUGGGCUGCAACAUCCACUAAACCUGGGCCUGUGCUGCCUGCAUCGCCAGCCGGUUUGUUUUCCAGUUCUUUCCAAGACAGGACACCGCCCCCCUUCCCCAGCAUCAAUGCCCCAGCUGGAGAAUACCUUCAAGACACAGAAAGAAUUUACAGACAUACUAAUCAUAUUAAGGAAGGGUGCCUGGCCAUGUUCUGACUCCAUGUGGAGAAGAAACCCUUCAUUGUGAAGAGCAGCCAACAGGCGAACGGAACGGCAGCCUGAGGUCUCCUGUAGCCCAGGCUAGCCCUGGACUCACCACGGAGCUGAGUGUGAACCCCUGAUCCUCCUGCUUCAGCUCCUCAGUGCUAGAAUUACAGACUUGCAAGGCAAGCUCGGCUUGAAGCAAUGGCUACCAAACCGUGGAGAGCUUUACAGUGUAUGAAGAUGACUGGAAGAAAUUGUCUGUAUCUAGCACAAUACUGAGUGCAGGGAAUUCAUUCUUGUAAUUAAAGAAGGAAAUGUCUACUUGACACGAAAGAUGCCAGUAACAGAGGAAGAGAGGAAUGAUACACAGAAGACAGGCAAUGGUACGUGUCAGGUUUACC